CGGCGCCUGCUGCUUGGACAUCCACACGUGGCUAGCGCCCGCCGGGGUGGCAGCUGUGCUGCUGAUGCCGUAGCUGCCCGUGUAGGUGACCUGGCCGUGCGUGGCCGGCACCCCCGGGUGGCCAUUGGGCGGCAGGUACUGGUCGAACUCGUUCACGUCGAAGGUCUCGAUGUUGGAGAUGACGUCGCUGCUCAGCUCGCCGAUGUCCACGUCGCGGAAGUCGAUGGGGGGCUGUCUGCCCCCCUCUGGCAGUGGGCGCCCCUCUCGCUUCAGCCUUUUUCGUCCUUCACUUUGAGAGCUGUAUGGUUACUGAAGUGUAUUAAGCCAUUUGGAGAUGAUGCGUGAGGCUCCGUGUCCAUCUCUGCGAGACCCCUGACAGGUUACCUGCAGCAAGCGGGAUGAAUUACAAGAGUUGGUGUGUGUUCACGGCAGAAAGAGAUGCUCUCUCUUCCAUCAGGGUGUCUGCCUGGAUCUUAGUAGACCCAGAACUGUGAGGUUCUGAGGCCAGAUCACUUGUCUAUUUUCAAAGUGGAGAGACGUGGGCCCAAGACCGUCCUGUGACCAAACCUCCAUCCUCAUGAUCAGAGCUGGCUAGAAACCCUCAACUGAGUCAGAGGCCGUCACCUGGGUCUGAUCUUCUCUGUCCCAGACAGAACUCCCUAUCUCCCAAGCUGAGAUGCCUCCAAACUUCUGGGAGAGUUGUCCCUUUCAGGAAUGAACUGUCAGCUGCCCCACUGCAAAAGUGUCCUCUCAAGGCCGUCACCGGCCAUGAACACACAUCAUUGUUUCAUUUCGCCUUUGGGGGUAACUCACAUCCCCUCAAGCAGGGUCACCUUGGAACAAGAAGCAGGAUGGUUAAGCUUGGAGGAAGGAAGGUGGAGAUACCAAUUGCAUAUAAUAGCCUAUUUGGAAAAGAAGCUCGGGCUCUCUGGGAGUCAGCAUACAAUCACUGGGGGCUAGGAAGGGGAGGACACCGAAAGAGCCAGUUCUAUAAGGGACUAAGGAGUAUGAGAGCUGACAUCCAUUCAGUUCACAAAUGUGUUUGCAGUUGGCAUGAAACCUUCUUUGAUGGAGUGUUUUCUCUAAAUA
Molecule: long non-coding RNA, 1089 nt
Organism: Globicephala melas (long-finned pilot whale)
Lineage: Eukaryota; Metazoa; Chordata; Mammalia; Artiodactyla; Delphinidae
Source: RefSeq, a predicted model, not a curated record